This 238-nucleotide ribosomal RNA is filed under the name uncultured bacterium. Its description in RNAcentral is "partial 16S ribosomal RNA". It matches the Rfam family "Bacterial small subunit ribosomal RNA", at positions 15 to 240 of the family's 1533-position model. The record is from RNAcentral.
GAUCAUGGCUCAGGACGAACGCUGGCGGCGUGCCUAAUACAUGCAAGUAGAACGCUGAAGAGAGGAGCUUGCUCUUCUUGGAUGAGUUGCGAACGGGUGAGUAACGCGUAGGUAACCUGCCUUGUAGCGGGGGAUAACUAUUGGAAACGAUAGCUAAUACCGCAUAACAAUGGAUGACCCAUGUCAUUUAUUUGUAAAGGGGCGAAAAUGCUCCACUACAAGAUGGACCUGCGUUGUA